This is a long non-coding RNA of Bactrocera tryoni, 1371 nucleotides long. RefSeq lists it as uncharacterized. The record is from RefSeq and is a predicted model, not a curated record. The transcript has 4 exons. NCBI's taxonomy places the organism in Eukaryota, Metazoa, Arthropoda, Insecta, Diptera, Tephritidae.
UUACGGUUAACAAUGUGCAAGUUCUAAAGAACAUACCCGUUACAAAAAUUAUAAAUAUGAUGCAGUUUCACACUACCAAUAGCGCAAUGUUUACAUUAUUUAUUGCCACUGCAGAACUCAACUAUGGUAACACACAAAUAUAUCGAUAAAUCAAUGGUGUCAUCAUUUUGUUUGCAUUGUUUACUUUUCAAAAAAGAAAGCUUGGCGAAUGUGUGCACAGCCUCUUGACAAAUCAAAUUGUGUUGUCAUGCGGUCAAUUAUGAAAUGCAGACCGCCAUACAUAUGCCAUAUAAUUGGACUAUGCGAUUUCGUAAUAAUUGGAUAACUUUCACGGCGUGGAAAGAGGCCAUGAAACCAAAGCGUGUGACAAUGAUAAAAAAUGUGUUGUUGCACUAACAAUGCAAGGGAACAAUAAAACAUAAAAAUCUGCACCAAAAAUUAGCAUUCAAUACCAAUUGAUAAUGCUGGCAAUUUAUGCCAUAAACAUAAAUACACAACCUAACUGGCUGCCUUUCAAACACAUGCCAUGGAAAAUAUUACGGUAUAACCAAAUCAUAUGAAUUAGCAUGCUAAUAAAAAUGUGAGAAGCUGCGACUGAGUAAAAAAACAAACCUAGACAUAACGUGGAAGACGCGCGCCCAACACUAGUCUCGUGUAUGCGUGGUUUAACAUGUGAUCAUCACGCUAGUUUUGAGAUCCAAUGUUGAUGCCAAGUUUAACUGCCGCUGGUGUUUUUGAUGAUAACUGGUCUUUCUCAUGAAUAUCGGAUUGAGUCAGCGAAUGUUCGAGACUGCUACGAAAGCGAGUUUAACGCUAAAUUAAUUGAUUUCUGCUUGCUUAGAACUACAUAUAUUACGCCAAUAUUGGUGGUGGUGUUUUUAGGAAUUCGCAAUAUAAUUUAUACAAAAAACUGAUAUUUGACGAAGCAAAAGCUGUUUGUGCUUCAUAAAUAUGAAAUUGCCAAUGUCAUUCUGGCUUUUCUAAUGUGGUCAGCCAAUACCGAGAGACAUUUUUGCUAAACUUUAACCGGUUGCGCUUAAGCGAAAUAUGACUGUUUAAAAGUAUAUAUGCACCAAUAUAAAUAUGGGCAUUUGCAAAUUAUUGAUUCGGGAUGACUUGAAAUAUUUGGGAUGACUUGGAAUUUUUGGCGACUUGUUUCAAAACAUACAAAUAUUUUAUUUAGCAUUUCUAAAAACAGAAAAAACAAAAAAUUUUUGAAAGCUUAAAAGUUGUUUUCUAAGCUAUUGACGUCGUUGACUGUAAAAUGUUUGUGAAAUUAAAUUUAUCGACGUAUUUAAGCACACAUUAAUGUUUAAAGUGUGCUAAUUUAUUAAAAUAUUGUUUUUCUACGUUAUUUUGUUUACAUUUUAA